This is a long non-coding RNA of Oncorhynchus tshawytscha (Chinook salmon), 5307 nucleotides long. Lineage: Eukaryota; Metazoa; Chordata; Actinopteri; Salmoniformes; Salmonidae. The record is from Ensembl.
CUAUAAAUACAGUCGUGGCCAAAAGUUUUGAGAAUGACACAAAUAUACAUUUUCACAAAGUUUGCUACUUCAGUGUCUUUAGAUAUUUUUGUCAGAUGUUGCUAUGGAAUACUGUAACAUAAUUACAAGCAUUUCAUAACUUUCAAAGCCUUUUAUUGACAAUUACAUGAAGUUGAUGAAAAUAGUUAAUUUGCAGUGUUGACCCUUCUUUUUCAAGACCUCUGCAAUCUGCCUUGGCAUGCUAUUAAUUAACUUCCUAGCCACAUCCUGACCUAUGGCAGCCCAUUCUUGCAUAAUCAAUGCUUGGAGUUUAUCAGAAUUUGUGGGUUUUUGUUUGUCCACCCGCCUCUUGAGGAUUGACCUCAAGUUCUCAAUGGGAUUAAGGUCUGGGGUGUUUCCUGGCCAUGACCCAAAAUAUCGAUGUUUUGUUCCCCGGGCCACUUAGUUAUCACUUUUGCCUUAUGGCAAGGUGCUCCAUCAUGCCGGAAAAGGCAUUGUUCCUCACCAAACUGUUCCUGGAUGGUUGGGAGAAGUUGCUCUCCUGAGCAAGCUCUGUACUGAUGGUGUCCUGAUACCGCAGCUGAAUCAAUUUUAGGAGACGGUCCUGGCGCUUGCUGGACUUUCUUGGGUGCCCUGAAUCCUUCUACACAACAAUUGAACCGCUCUCCUUCAAGUUCUUGAUUAUCCGAUAAAUGGUUGAUUUAGGUGCAAUCUUACUGGCAGCAAUAUCCUUGCCUGCAAAGCCCUUUUUGUGCAAAGCAAUGAUGACGGCACAUGUUUCCUUGCAGGUAACCAUGAUUGACAGAGGAAGAACAAUGAUUCCAAGCACCACCCUCGUUUUGAAGCUUCCAGUCUGUUAUUCGAACUCAAUCAGCAUGACAGAGUGAUCUCCAGCCUUGUCCUCGUCAACACUCACACCAGUCUUAACGAGAGAAUCACUGACAUGAUAUCAGCUGGUCCUUUUGUGGCAGGGCUGACUCAGUGGAAAAGUUUUUUGGGGAUCCAGUUCAUUUGCAUGGCAAAGAGGGACUUUGCAAUUAAUUGCAAUUCAUCUGAUCACUCUUCAUAACAUUCUGGAGUAUAUGUAUAUGCAAAUUGCCAUCAUACAUCAUACAGCAGUCUUUGUGAAAAUUAAUAUUUGUAUCAUUCAGAAAACUUUUGACCACAACUGUACACUACCGGUCAAAAGUUUGGACACACCUACUCAUUUAAGAUUUUUCUAUAUUUUUUACUAUUUUCUACAUUGUAGAAUAAUAGUGAAGACAUCAAAACCAUGAAAUAACACUUAUGGAAUCAUGUAGUAACCAAAAAAGUGUUAAACGAAUCAAAAUAUAUUUUAUAUUUGAGAUUCUUCAAAUAGCCACCCUUUGCCUUGACGACAGCUUUGCACACUCUUGGCAUUCUCUCAACCAGCCAUAUGAGGUAAUCACCUGGAAUGUAUUUCAAUUAACAGGUGUGGAAUUUCUUUCCUUCUUAAUGCAUUUGAGCCAAUCAGUUGUGUUGUGACAAGGUAGGGGUGGUAUACAGAAGAUAGCCCUAUUUGGUAAAAUACCAAGUCUAUAAAUGGCAAGAACAGCUCAAAUAAGAAAAGAGAAAUGACAGUCCAACAUUUUUUUAAGACAUGGAGGUCAGUCAACUUGAAACAUUUCAAGGACUUUGAAAGUUUCUUCAAGUGCUGUCCCAGAAACCAUCAAGAGCUAUGAUGAAACUGUUGUAAUGUGCAACAUCUGGUAAGGUCUCUCUGUGCUGUAGGACCUGGUGAAAGUCCAUAAGAGUCUCAUGGUGGAGGUGCAAGACUCCACUCUCAACAAGAACACCUUAAACCUCUACAAGAUCUACAUCACCUAUAAGGACAGGUAUUUAUUAAUAUUAAUCUAUUUACAUUAUAUGUAAUAGUUUUACACACAGUACAACACAUCGAUUCCUUAAAAUUCAUAGUUCGCUGUAACACAAUGUAAACAACUUAAAUGUGGGCUUCAAUUGCCCUCCAUAAUGAUACUUAUCACCUUAAAAUGGUAGGUUACUCAUUUAUGGAAUCUAUUGCAGCCAAGUUGAGAUAUCCAUUGCUGUUUUGGAUUGUAUCUGAAGCUAGAGGUAAGAAGAUACUAUAAUAAUAAUAAUAAUAAUAAUAAUAAUAAUGGCUUUAGGAUUUCUAUUGCGGGGUCAUUUGAAGUGUUGUGGCCCUCUAGUGUCCAAUUAAGAAAUCACAGCAUAUUCAAACCAUGUGUGUUCUAAGAGAGCGAACAAUGGGAAGUUUAUUCAGAGAUCUACUGAUCUACCUCCCCAUGCAGAACGUCCUCAAGUAUCAUCUCCUACUACAGGUAUGUUUAUCACAGACAGUGUACACAUACACUCACAGCCAAUGGGACUGGGACAAGAUUAUAUUAUAAAUGACCACUAGGGGGAGACAUCCACCACAUAUUUUCUCUCUUCCUGGACACUCACACUUCCAUAGUGGAAAGGAGUGAGAGGAGGAAUGGGGAGAGAUGGGGAUGAAAGAAAGGAGAGAGGAGAAGAAGAGAGGAUGGAGGAGAGUAGAUGGUGGAGUAGAGAGGAUAUGGGGAGAGGUUUGGUUCUAGAGAAACAGAGCCUGCCAGUCCACACCUGUCCCUGGGUUAAUCUCAUCAUAGUUAGUUAUUCAUCAUAGCAGUAGGAUAGCCUUGGACUUCAAUUGCUCUUUGUUCAACUGUGAAAUCACCUGCCAUUAUUUGUUUUUGUUGUUGUUUCUUUGGGGGCUGGUUGCCUUUUCAGCAAAGAAAGAAAGAAAGAAAGAAAGAAAGAAAGAAAGAAAGAAAGAAAGAGAACAAAAGCUCAGAUCUCAAAGGAACUGGACAGAUUUGAGUCUUGGCAGGUGACUGACUCCAACGUGUUAAGUGUAUUUUAGCUGGAAGAGCUGGGGACACUGUGGAAAAAAUAAUUAUACAUUCAAAACUAAGGCUUGAAUGCAAAAUAAAGAUGUUUAUUAGAACAUCACUGUGCCCGAAAAAUCAAGAAAUGAAUCACUGCAAUUGUAAACCCCAUGUGUUAAGAAACAAAACUGUGGAAUAAAUUUCCGUGUCCUCUAGUCAUCAACUAAGAUGUGGUAUCAAACUGUGUUCAAGCACUGUAAUCAAAAUGAAAAUAAUUGAAAGUAGAAAUUACACUCAAUUUAAUGGGAGACUUUCUUUAAAAAAUGAAACGUUUCGACUUCAGGCCAUAAGUGUUAUGAAUUGUCACCUGACUUCUAUUUUCAAGGAGAAUUGCAUGUCACAUGAUCAAGCAAGAAACUACAUCAGAAAAUCUAUGAAUCAGUAUCUAGAUUAUAUACAAAAUAUACCGAUACGGACAGAGAAAUAUCAUCAAUUAAUUGUAUUUACAUAUACAAUGUAAACAUCUCCUCAGCAUAAAUAACACAAGACUGUGAUAGAGUACAGAGCUAGAGAGACCACUAGAUGGGGGUAUCGAACACCAUUAAGAGAAAAUAUACCAGUCCCAGAAACCACUUAAUUCAUGCCUGAUGGACAAGCCUUAAACACAAGGCCAGAUCUACACUAGAGUUGAAAUAAGACAGGGAAUGUUCCUGACUGGCUGACUUACAGUUUUGACUUAUGUCUACUUGAAAAUAUAUAGCAAGAACUGAAAAUGGAUGUGUAGCAAUGAUCAACAACCGAUUUAGAAAAUAAUCUUAGUGAUUUACCCAGAAGGACUCUGUAAUCGCAGCCAAAGGUGCUUUUACAAAGUAUUGAGUCUUGGGUGUGAAUAUUUAUGUAAAUGAGAAAUGUCUCUUUCAUUUUCAAUAAAUUAGCAAACAUUUCUUAAAAACAUGUUUUCACUUUGUCAUUGUGGGUUUUUGAGUGUAGAUGGGUGAGAUAAAAUAAAUAUAUUUAAUCCACUAUAAAUUCAGGCUGUAAAACAACAAAAUGUAAAAUAUGUCUGGUAUGAAUAAUAUCUGAAAGCAAUGUAACUCCAAAUCAAAUCAAAUAGUCACAUGCACAUGAAUAGGUGUAAACCUUACAGUGAAUUUCUUACUUACAAGCCCAACCAACAAUGCAGUUUAAAAAAAUAUGACUAAGAAAUAAAAGUAACAAAUAGUUAAAGGGCAGCAGUAAAAAAACAGGGAGUACCGGUACAGAGUCAAUGUGGAGGCUAUAUACAGGGGGCACCGGUACAGAGUCAAUGUGGAGGCUAUAUACAGGGGGUACUGGUACAGAGUCAAUGUGGAAGCUAUAUACAGGGGGGUACAGGUACAGAGUCAAUGUGGAGGCUAUAUACAGGGGGCACCGGUACAGAGUCAAUGUGGAGGCUAUAUACAGGGGUACUGGUACAGAGUCAAUGUGGAAGCUAUAUACAGGGGGGGGUACCGGUACAGAGUCAAUGUGGAGGUUAUAUACAGGGAGUACCAGUACAGAGUCAAUGUGGAGGUUAUAUACAGGGGGUACCGGUACAGAGUCAAUGUGGAGGCUAUAUAAAGGGGGUGCCGGUACAGAGUCAAUGUGCGGGGGCACCGGUUAGUCAAGGUAAUAUGUAUAGAUAGCAACAGAGACCAUGCUCUCGAUGGUGCAACUGUAGGACCUUUUGAGGAUCUGAGGAUUCUUGCCAAAUCUUUUCAGUCUCCUGAGGGGGAAUACGUUUUGCCCUCUUCACGACUGUCUUGGUGUGCGUGGACCAUGUUAGUUUGUUGGUGAUGUGGACACCAAGGAACUUGAAGCUCUCAGCCUGCUCCACUACAGCCCCGUCGAUGAGAAUGGGGGCGUGCUCGUUCCUCCUUUUCCUGUAGUCCACAAUUAUAUCCUUUGUCUUGAUCACGUUGAGGAAGAGGUUGUUGUCCUGGCACCACACAGCCAGGUCUCUGACCUCCUCCCUAUAGGAUGUCUCAUCGUUGUCGGUGAUCAGGCCUUCCACUGUUGUGUCAUCAGCAAACUUAAUUAUGAGGGGCCCAGGUGUCGAGGAUUAGUGUGCCAGAUGUGUUGUUAUCUAUCCUUACCACUUGGGGGUGGCCCGUCAGGAUGUCCAGGAUCCAGUUGCAGAGGGAGGUGUUUAGUCCCAGGGCCCUUGGCUUAUUGAUGAGCUUUGAGGGCGCUAUGGUGUUGAACGCUGUAGUCAAAUAAUAGCAUUCACAUAUUUUGUCCAGGUGGGAUAGGGCAGUGUGGAGUGCAAUAGAGAUUGCAUCAUCUGUGGAUCUGUUAGGGAGGUAUGCAAAUUGGAGUGGGUCUAGGGUUUCUAGGAUAAUGGUGAUGUGAGUCAUGACCUUUUAACCUCUAGUGACACCCCAUCCUGUGAACGGGACCGUUGUCAUCAUCUGACACUAAUUAGCAUAACGCAACGGAC